Molecule: ribosomal RNA, 254 nt
Filed under: uncultured bacterium
Lineage: Bacteria
Description: partial 16S ribosomal RNA
Rfam family: Bacterial small subunit ribosomal RNA
Source: RNAcentral
UACAGAGGGGGCAAGCGUUGUUCGGAAUUACUGGGCGUAAAGGGCGCGUAGGCGGCCUUCUAAGUCGAACGUGAAAUCCCCGGGCUCAACCCGGGAACUGCGUCCGAUACUGGAAGGCUUGAAUCCGGGAGAGGUGAGUGGAAUUCCGAGUGUAGAGGUGAAAUUCGUAGAUAUUCGGAAGAACACCAGUGGCGAAGGCGGCUCACUGGACCGGUAUUGACGCUGAGGUGCGAAAGCGUGGGGAGCAAACAGGG